CUGCCUGCCCGGUGACACACGUUUAACGGCCGCGGUACCCUGACCGUGCAAAGGUAGCAUAAUCACUUGUUCUUUAAAUAGGGACUUGCAUGAAUGGCAUCACGAGGGUUUAACUGUCUCUUACUUUCAACCAGUGAAAUUGACCUAUCCGUGAAGAGGCGGAUGUAAUACAAUAAGACGAGAAGACCCUAUGGAGCUUUAAUUUAUUAAUGCAACCAAAAACUACGCAAACCCACAGGCCCCUAAACUACCAUACCUGCAUUAAAAAUUUUGGUUGGGGUGACCUCGGAGCACAACUAAACCUCCGAAUAAUUAAUGCUAAGACUAUACAAGUCAAAGCGGACUAACAUUUACAACUGAUCCAAUAACUUGAUCAACGGAACAAGUUACCCUAGGGAUAACAGCGCAAUUCUAUUCUAGAGUCCAUAUCGACAAUAGAGUUUACGACCUCGAUGUUGGAUCAGGACAUCCUAAUGGUGCAGCAGCUAUCAAG
This 493-nucleotide ribosomal RNA is filed under the name Cercocebus sp. Y45. RNAcentral's name for it is "partial 16S large subunit ribosomal RNA". It matches the Rfam family "Bacterial large subunit ribosomal RNA", at positions 1854 to 2569 of the family's 2925-position model. Lineage: Eukaryota; Metazoa; Chordata; Mammalia; Primates; Cercopithecidae. The record is from RNAcentral.